This 483-nucleotide ribosomal RNA is filed under the name uncultured bacterium. RNAcentral's name for it is "bacterial SSU rRNA". It matches the Rfam family "Bacterial small subunit ribosomal RNA", at positions 30 to 507 of the family's 1533-position model. The record is from RNAcentral.
AUUGAACGCUGGCGGCAUGCCUUACACAUGCAAGUCGAACGGCAGCGCGGGAGCAAUCCUGGUGGCGAGUGGCGAACGGGUGAGUAAUAUAUCGGAACGUGCCCAGUCGUGGGGGAUAACGUAGCGAAAGCUACGCUAAUACCGCAUACGAUCUAUGGAUGAAAGCGGGGGAUCGCAAGACCUCGCGCGAUUGGAGCGGCCGAUAUCAGAUUAGGUAGUUGGUGAGGUAAAGGCUCACCAAGCCGACGAUCUGUAGCUGGUCUGAGAGGACGACCAGCCACACUGGGACUGAGACACGGCCCAGACUCCUACGGGAGGCAGCAGUGGGAAUUUUGGACAAUGGGCGCAAGCCUGAUCCAGCAAUGCCGCGUGCAGGAUGAAGGCCUUCGGGUUGUAAACUGCUUUUGUACGGAACGAAACGGUGAGCUCUAAUACAGUUUGCUAAUGACGGUACCGUAAGAAUAAGCACCGGCUAACUACGUG